Molecule: ribosomal RNA, 465 nt
Filed under: Vreelandella stevensii
Lineage: Bacteria; Pseudomonadati; Pseudomonadota; Gammaproteobacteria; Oceanospirillales; Halomonadaceae
Description: partial 16S ribosomal RNA
Rfam family: Bacterial small subunit ribosomal RNA
Source: RNAcentral
CCUACGGGAGGCUGCAGUGGGGAAUAUUGGACAAUGGGGGGAACCCUGAUCCAGCCAUGCCGCGUGUGUGAAGAAGGCCCUCGGGUUGUAAAGCACUUUCAGUGAGGAAGAACGCCUGGUGGUUAAUACCCAUCAGGAAAGACAUCACUCACAGAAGAAGCACCGGCUAACUCCGUGCCAGCAGCCGCGGUAAUACGGAGGGUGCGAGCGUUAAUCGGAAUUACUGGGCGUAAAGCGCGCGUAGGUGGCUUGAUAAGCCGGUUGUGAAAGCCCCGGGCUCAACCUGGGAACGGCAUCCGGUACUGUGAGGCUAGCGUGCAGGAGAGGGAGGUAGAAUUCGCGGUGUAGCGGUGAAAGUCGUAGAGAUCGGGAGGAAUACCAGUGGCGAAGGGGGCCAUCUGAGUUGACACUGACACUGAGGUGCGAAAGCGUGGGUAGCAAACAGGAUUAGAUACCCUAGUAGUC